Molecule: ribosomal RNA, 465 nt
Filed under: Vreelandella stevensii
Lineage: Bacteria; Pseudomonadati; Pseudomonadota; Gammaproteobacteria; Oceanospirillales; Halomonadaceae
Description: partial 16S ribosomal RNA
Rfam family: Bacterial small subunit ribosomal RNA
Source: RNAcentral
CCUACGGGGGGCUGCAGUGGGGAAUAUUGGACAAUGGGGGGAACCCUGAUCCAGCCAUGCCGCGUGUGUGAAGAAGGCCCUCGGGUUGUAAAGCACUUUCAGUGAGGAAGAACGCCUGGUGGUUAAUACCCAUCAGGAAAGACAUCACUCACAGAAGAAGCACCGGCUAACUCCGUGCCAGCAGCCGCGGUAAUACGGAGGGUGCGAGCGUUAAUCGGAAUUACUGGGCGUAAAGCGCGCGUAGGUGGCUUGAUAAGCCGGUUGUGAAAGCCCCGGGCUCAACCUGGGAACGGCAUCCGGAACUGUCAAGCUAGAGUGCAGGAGAGGAAGGUAGAAUUCCCGGUGUAGCGGUGAAAUGCGUAGAGAUCGGGAGGAAUACCAGUGGCGAAGGCGGCCAUCUGGACUGACACUGACACUGAGGUGCGAAAGCGUGGGUAGCAAACAGGAUUAGAUACCCUGGUAGUC